Molecule: ribosomal RNA, 1444 nt
Filed under: uncultured organism
Description: SSU rRNA
Rfam family: Bacterial small subunit ribosomal RNA
Source: RNAcentral
CUACAGGCUUAACACAUGCAAGUCGAGGGGCAUCAGGAAGAAAGCUUGCUUUCUUUGCUGGCGACCGGCGCACGGGUGAGUAACACGUAUCCAACCUGCCCUUUACUCGGGGAUAGCCUUUCGAAAGAAAGAUUAAUACCCGAUGGCAUAAUGAUUCCGCAUGGUUUCAUUAUUAAAGGAUUCCGGUAAAGGAUGGGGAUGCGUUCCAUUAGGUUGUUGGUGAGGUAACGGCCCACCAAGCCUUCGAUGGAUAGGGGUUCUGAGAGGAAGGUCCCCCACAUUGGAACUGAGACACGGUCCAAACUCCUACGGGAGGCAGCAGUGAGGAAUAUUGGUCAAUGGGCGGUAGCCUGAACCAGCCAAGUAGCGUGAAGGAUGAAGGCUCUAUGGGUCGUAAACUUCUUUUAUAUAAGAAUAAAGUGCAGUAUGUAUACUGUUUUGUAUGUAUUAUAUGAAUAAGGAUCGGCUAACUCCGUGCCAGCAGCCGCGGUAAUACGGAGGAUCCGAGCGUUAUCCGGAUUUAUUGGGUUUAAAGGGAGCGUAGGUGGACUGGUAAGUCAGUUGUGAAAGUUUGCGGCUCAACCGUAAAAUUGCAGUUGAUACUGUCAGUCUUGAGUACAGUAGAGGUGGGCGGAAUUCGUGGUGUAGCGGUGAAAUGCUUAGAUAUCACGAAGAACUCCGAUUGCGAAGGCAGCUCACUGGACUGCAACUGACACUGAUGCUCGAAAGUGUGGGUAUCAAACAGGAUUAGAUACCCUGGUAGUCCACACAGUAAACGAUGAAUACUCGCUGUUUGCGAUAUACAGUAAGCGGCCAAGCGAAAGCAUUAAGUAUUCCACCUGGGGAGUACGCCGGCAACGGUGAAACUCAAAGGAAUUGACGGGGGCCCGCACAAGCGGAGGAACAUGUGGUUUAAUUCGAUGAUACGCGAGGAACCUUACCCGGGCUUAAAUUGCAGUGGAAUGAUGUGGAAACAUGUCAGUGAGCAAUCACCGCUGUGAAGGUGCUGCAUGGUUGUCGUCAGCUCGUGCCGUGAGGUGUCGGCUUAAGUGCCAUAACGAGCGCAACCCUUAUCUUCAGUUACUAACAGGUCAUGCUGAGGACUCUGGAGAGACUGCCGUCGUAAGAUGUGAGGAAGGUGGGGAUGACGUCAAAUCAGCACGGCCCUUACGUCCGGGGCUACACACGUGUUACAAUGGGGGGUACAGAAGGCAGCUAGCGGGUGACCGUAUGCUAAUCCCAAAAGCCUCUCUCAGUUCGGAUCGAAGUCUGCAACCCGACUUCGUGAAGCUGGAUUCGCUAGUAAUCGCGCAUCAGCCACGGCGCGGUGAAUACGUUCCCGGGCCUUGUACACACCGCCCGUCAAGCCAUGGGAGCCGGGGGUACCUGAAGUACGUAACCGCAAGGAUCGUCCUAGGGUAAAACUGGUGACUGGGGCUAAGUA